RNAcentral lists this ribosomal RNA (719 nucleotides) under Porticoccus sp. RNAcentral describes it as "bacterial SSU rRNA". It matches the Rfam family "Bacterial small subunit ribosomal RNA", at positions 28 to 743 of the family's 1533-position model. Lineage: Bacteria; Pseudomonadati; Pseudomonadota; Gammaproteobacteria; Cellvibrionales; Porticoccaceae. The record is from RNAcentral.
AUUGAACGCUGGCGGCAGGCCUAACACAUGCAAGUCGAGCGUGAAAGUUCCUUCGGGAGCGAGUAGAGCGGCGGACGGGUGAGUAACGCGUAGGAAUCUGCCCAGUAGUGGGGGACAACUCGAGGAAACUCGAGCUAAUACCGCAUACGCCCUAAGGGGGAAAGCAGGGGAUCUUCGGACCUUGUGCUAUUGGAUGAGCCUGCGUCGGAUUAGCUAGUUGGUGGGGUAAUGGCCUACCAAGGCAACGAUCCGUAGCUGGUCUGAGAGGAUGAUCAGCCACACUGGGACUGAGACACGGCCCAGACUCCUACGGGAGGCAGCAGUGGGGAAUAUUGGACAAUGGGGGCAACCCUGAUCCAGCCAUGCCGCGUGUGUGAAGAAGGCCUUCGGGUUGUAAAGCACUUUCAGCAGGGAGGAAAAGCUAAUGGCUAAUAACCAUUAGCCCUGACGUUACCUGCAGAAGAAGCACCGGCAAACUCCGUGCCAGCAGCCGCGGUAAUACGGAGGGUGCGAGCGUUAAUCGGAAUUACUGGGCGUAAAGCGCGCGUAGGCGGUUUGAUUAGCUGGAUGUGAAAGCCCCGGGCUCAACCUGGGAAUUGCAUCCAGAACUGUCAGACUAGAGUACAGUAGAGGUGAGUGGAAUUUCCUGUGUAGCGGUGAAAUGCGUAGAUAUAGGAAGGAACAUCAGUGGCGAAGGCGGCUCACUGGACUGAUACUGA